This 671-nucleotide ribosomal RNA is filed under the name Clostridioides difficile. RNAcentral's name for it is "bacterial SSU rRNA". It matches the Rfam family "Bacterial small subunit ribosomal RNA", at positions 1 to 698 of the family's 1533-position model. Lineage: Bacteria; Bacillati; Bacillota; Clostridia; Peptostreptococcales; Peptostreptococcaceae. The record is from RNAcentral.
UUUUAUUUGAGAGUUUGAUCCUGGCUCAGGAUGAACGCUGGCGGCGUGCCUAACACAUGCAAGUUGAGCGAUUUACUUCGGUAAAGAGCGGCGGACGGGUGAGUAACGCGUGGGUAACCUACCCUGUACACACGGAUAACAUACCGAAAGGUAUGCUAAUACGGGAUAAUAUAUUUGAGAGGCAUCUCUUAAAUAUCAAAGGUGAGCCAGUACAGGAUGGACCCGCGUCUGAUUAGCUAGUUGGUAAGGUAACGGCUUACCAAGGCGACGAUCAGUAGCCGACCUGAGAGGGUGAUCGGCCACAUUGGAACUGAGACACGGUCCAAACUCCUACGGGAGGCAGCAGUGGGGAAUAUUGCACAAUGGGCGAAAGCCUGAUGCAGCAACGCCGCGUGAGUGAUGAAGGCCUUCGGGUCGUAAAACCCUGUCCUCAAGGAAGAUAAUGACGGUACUUGAGGAGGAAGCCCCGGCUAACUACGUGCCAGCAGCCGCGGUAAUACGUAGGGGGCUAGCGUUAUCCGGAUUUACUGGGCGUAAAGGGUGCGUAGGCGGUCUUUCAAGUCAGGAGUGAAAGGCUACGGCUCAACCGUAGUAAGCUCUUGAAACUGGGAGACUUGAGUGCAGGAGAGGAGAGUGGAAUUCCUAGUGUAGCGGUGAAAUGCGUAGAUAUU